AUUGAACGCUGGCGGCAUGCCUUACACAUGCAAGUCGAACGGUAACAGGUCUUCGGAUGCUGACGAGUGGCGAACGGGUGAGUAAUACAUCGGAACGUGCCUAGUAGUGGGGGAUAACUACUCGAAAGAGUGGCUAAUACCGCAUGAGAUCUACGGACGAAAGCAGGGGAUCGCAAGACCUUGUGCUACUAGAGCGGCCGAUGGCAGAUUAGGUAGUAGGUGGGAUAAAAGCUUACAAAGCCGAGGAUCUGUAGCUGGUCUGAGAGGACGAUCAGCCACACUGGGACGGGGCCACGGCACAGACUCGUACGGGAGGCAGCAGUGGGGAAUGUUGGACAAUGGGCGCAGGCCUGAUCCAGCAAUGCCGCGGGCAGGAUGAAGGCCUUCGGGUUGUAAACUGCUUUUGUACGGAACGAAAAGCCCCGGGUUAAUACCCUGGGGUCAUGACGGUACCGUAAGAAUAAGCACCGGCUAACUACGUGCCAGCCGCCGCAGUAA
RNAcentral lists this ribosomal RNA (498 nucleotides) under uncultured bacterium. Its description in RNAcentral is "partial 16S ribosomal RNA". It matches the Rfam family "Bacterial small subunit ribosomal RNA", at positions 30 to 523 of the family's 1533-position model. The record is from RNAcentral.